GUAAGUAACGGCGAGUGAACACGGAAAAGCCCAGCGCAUAAGCUCCCACGUUUUACGUGUGGCGCGGUGUUGCGUAUAGGCGUGACUGGCUGGUGUUGCCAAUGUCUGAAGUUUGCUGGAAGGUAACUUCCCAGUGAGGGUGUUAGGCCCGUUCGGACUGCGGUGAUGCUGGCUGGAAGCGUCUGGGAGUAGAGUUGCUUGGAAAUGCAGCUCGAAGUGGGUGUUAUACCACAUCCAAGGCUAAAUACGACCACGAAACCGAUAGCGAACAAGUACCGAGGGGGAAAGUUGAAAAGAACUUUGAAGAGAGAGUUCAAGAGGACGUGAAACUGGUAGUGGCGAAGCAGAUAGCGUUGACGAGACCGGCGGUAUUCAGUGUUGACGUUCCGCAUGCCUGCCCUGUGCGCGCUACCGUUAGUAGUGCCCGGGACGUGGUGGGUAGUGGUUCGUUGGUGCGGUUUUACUGCUGGUGUUCGCUGAGAUGCCUGGAUGCUCCUACGGACCCUGUCGAUGUGUCCCACUUCGGUGGCCGACUGUCUUCGGGUGAUGUGGAUGCUGUGUCUGGGUGGCUGAGAAGGCCUCGCCUCUGCGCAUGCAGUGUGCUUACUAGUGUUGGGCAGUGAUCGAGUAGCCUCGCUCGGUUAUUGUCUUACGCAGGUUUGUGUGCAGCGUGCCUAGGGCUUGCUCUCG
This 690-nucleotide ribosomal RNA is filed under the name Diplogaster environmental sample. Its description in RNAcentral is "eukaryotic LSU rRNA". It matches the Rfam family "Eukaryotic large subunit ribosomal RNA", at positions 79 to 615 of the family's 3401-position model. Lineage: Eukaryota; Metazoa; Nematoda; Chromadorea; Rhabditida; Diplogasteridae. The record is from RNAcentral.